GACGAACGCUGGCGGCGUGCUUAACACAUGCAAGUCGAACGGAAAGACCCUGCUUUUGUGGGGUGCUCGAGUGGCGAACGGGUGAGUAACACGUGAGUAACCUGCCCUUGACUUUGGGAUAACUUCAGGAAACUGGGGCUAAUACCGGAUAAGAGCUCCUGCUGCAUGGUGGGGGUUGGAAAGUUUCGGCGGUUGGGGAUGGACUCGCGGCUUAUCAGCUUGUUGGUGGGGUAGUGGCUUACCAAGGCUUUGACGGGUAGCCGGCCUGAGAGGGUGACCGGCCACAUUGGGACUGAGAUACGGCCCAGACUCCUACGGGAGGCAGCAGUGGGGAAUAUUGCACAAUGGGCGGAAGCCUGAUGCAGCAACGCCGCGUGCGGGAUGACGGCCUUCGGGUUGUAAACCGCUUUCGCCUGUGACGAAGCGUGAGUGACGGUAAUGGGUAAAGAAGCACCGGCUAACUACGUG
Molecule: ribosomal RNA, 468 nt
Filed under: uncultured bacterium
Lineage: Bacteria
Description: partial 16S ribosomal RNA
Rfam family: Bacterial small subunit ribosomal RNA
Source: RNAcentral